GGGCCCGCACAAGCGGAGGAACAUGUGGUUUAAUUCGAUGAUACGCGAGGAACCUUACCCGGGCUUGAAAUGCAGAUGACAGGCGGCGAGAACCGUUUUUCCUUCGGGACAUCUGUGUAGGUGCUGCAUGGUUGUCGUCAGCUCGUGCCGUGAGGUGUCGGCUUAAGUGCCAUAACGAGCGCAACCCUCAUCGUUAGUUGCCAUCAGGUCAAGCUGGGGACUCUAACGGGACUGCCAUCGUAAGAUGUGAGGAAGGUGGGGAUGACGUCAAAUCAGCACGGCCCUUACGUCCGGGGCGACACACGUGUUACAAUGGGUGGUACAAAGGGCAGCUACCGGGCGACCGGAUGCCAAUCUCUAAAACCACUCUCAGUUCGGAUCGGAGUCUGCAACUCGACUCCGUGAAGCUGGAUUCGCUAGUAAUCGCGCAUCAGCCACGGCGCGGUGAAUACGUUCCCGGGCCUU
RNAcentral lists this ribosomal RNA (465 nucleotides) under uncultured bacterium. RNAcentral describes it as "bacterial SSU rRNA". It matches the Rfam family "Bacterial small subunit ribosomal RNA", at positions 917 to 1382 of the family's 1533-position model. The record is from RNAcentral.